CCCCUAGUAACUGCGAGUGAAGCGGGAAAAGCUCAAAUUUAAAAUCUGGCAGUCUUUGAUUGUCCGAGUUGUAAUCUAGAGAAGUGUUAUCCGCGUUGGACGGUGUACAAGUCUCCUGGAAUGGAGCAUCAUAGAGGGUGAGAAUCCCGUCUUUGACACGGACAACCAGUGCUUUGUGAUGCGCUCUCAAAGAGUCGAGUUGUUUGGGAAUGCAGCUCAAAAUGGGUGGUAAAUUCCAUCUAAAGCUAAAUAUUGGCGAGAGACCGAUAGCGAACAAGUACCGUGAGGGAAAGAUGAAAAGAACUUUGGAAAGAGAGUUAAACAGUACGUGAAAUUGCUGAAAGGGAAACGCUUGAAGUCAGUCGCGUUGGCUGGAAAUCAACCUUGCUUUUGCUGGGCGUACUUUCUAGUCAAUGGGUCAGCAUCAAUUUUGACCAUUGGAAAAAGUGUAGAGGAAUGUGGCAUCUUCGAAUGUGUUAUAGCCUUUGCUCGCAUACAGUGGUUGGGAUUGAGUAAUUCAGCAGGGAAAAAA
RNAcentral lists this ribosomal RNA (532 nucleotides) under Conocybe apala. Its description in RNAcentral is "eukaryotic LSU rRNA". It matches the Rfam family "Eukaryotic large subunit ribosomal RNA", at positions 77 to 609 of the family's 3401-position model. The record is from RNAcentral. Lineage: Eukaryota; Fungi; Basidiomycota; Agaricomycetes; Agaricales; Bolbitiaceae.